ACAUGCAGUCGAGCGAGANCUUCGGGUCUAGCGGCGGANGGGUUAGUAACNCNNNNNAAUGUACCCUUCACUACGGAAUAGUCCCGGGAAACUGGGUUUAAUACCGUAUACGCCCUUCGGGGGAAAGAUUUAUCGGUGAAGGAUCAGCCCGCGUCUGAUUAGAUAGUUGGUGGGGUAAUGGCCUACCAAGUCUACGAUCAGUAGCUGGUUUGAGAGGAUGAUCAGCAACACUGGGACUGAGACACGGCCCAGACUCCUACGGGAGGCAGCAGUGGGGAAUCUUAGACAAUGGGCGCAAGCCUGAUCUAGCCAUGCCGCGUGAGUGAUGAAGGCCUUAGGGUCGUAAAGCUCUUUCGCUGGGGAAGAUAAUGACGGUACCCAGUAAAGAAACCCCGGCUAACUCCGUGCCAGCAGCCGCGGUAAUACGGAGGGGGUUAGCGUUGUUCGGAAUUACUGGGCGUAAAGCGCGCGUAGGCGGAUUGGANAGUUGGGGGUGAAAUCCCGGGGCUCAACCCCGGAACGGCCUCCAAAACUAUCAGUCUAGAGGUCGAGAGAGGUGAGUGNAAUUCCGAGUGUAGAGNUGAAAUUCGUAGAUAUUCGGAGGAACACCAGUGGCGAANGCGGCUCACUNNUCGAUACUGACGCUGAGGUGCGAAAGCNUGNNNGCAAANAGNAUUAGAUACCCU
RNAcentral lists this ribosomal RNA (686 nucleotides) under uncultured bacterium. RNAcentral describes it as "partial 16S ribosomal RNA". It matches the Rfam family "Bacterial small subunit ribosomal RNA", at positions 53 to 788 of the family's 1533-position model. The record is from RNAcentral.